RNAcentral lists this ribosomal RNA (1487 nucleotides) under Curtobacterium sp. RS-3. Its description in RNAcentral is "16S ribosomal RNA". It matches the Rfam family "Bacterial small subunit ribosomal RNA". The record is from RNAcentral. Lineage: Bacteria; Bacillati; Actinomycetota; Actinomycetes; Micrococcales; Microbacteriaceae.
AGAGUUUGAUCAUGGCUCAGGACGAACGCUGGCGGCGUGCUUAACACAUGCAAGUCGAACGAUGAUCAGGAGCUUGCUCCUGUGAUUAGUGGCGAACGGGUGAGUAACACGUGAGUAACCUGCCCCUGACUCUGGGAUAAGCGUUGGAAACGACGUCUAAUACUGGAUAUGACUGCCGGCCGCAUGGUCUGGUGGUGGAAAGAUUUUUUGGUUGGGGAUGGACUCGCGGCCUAUCAGCUUGUUGGUGAGGUAAUGGCUCACCAAGGCGACGACGGGUAGCCGGCCUGAGAGGGUGACCGGCCACACUGGGACUGAGACACGGCCCAGACUCCUACGGGAGGCAGCAGUGGGGAAUAUUGCACAAUGGGCGAAAGCCUGAUGCAGCAACGCCGCGUGAGGGAUGACGGCCUUCGGGUUGUAAACCUCUUUUAGUAGGGAAGAAGCGAAAGUGACGGUACCUGCAGAAAAAGCACCGGCUAACUACGUGCCAGCAGCCGCGGUAAUACGUAGGGUGCAAGCGUUGUCCGGAAUUAUUGGGCGUAAAGAGCUCGUAGGCGGUUUGUCGCGUCUGCUGUGAAAUCCCGAGGCUCAACCUCGGGCUUGCAGUGGGUACGGGCAGACUAGAGUGCGGUAGGGGAGAUUGGAAUUCCUGGUGUAGCGGUGGAAUGCGCAGAUAUCANGAGGAACACCGAUGGCGAAGCAGAUCUCUGGGCCGUAACUGACGCUGAGGAGCGAAAGCGUGGGGAGCGAACAGGAUUAGAUACCCUGGUAGUCCACGCCGUAAACGUUGGGCGCUAGAUGUAGGGACCUUUCCACGGGUUUCUGUUGUCGUAGCUAACGCAUUAAGCACCCCGCCUGGGGAGUACGGCCGCAAGGCUAAAACUCAAAGGAAUUGACGGGGGCCCGCACAAGCGGCGGAGCAUGCGGAUUAAUUCGAUGCAACGCGAAGAACCUUACCAAGGCUUGACAUACACCGGAAACGGCCAGAGAUGGUUGCCCCCUUGUGGUCGGUGUACAGGUGGUGCAUGGUUGUCGUCAGCUCGUGUCGUGAGAUGUUGGGUUAAGUCCCGCAACGAGCGCAACCCUCGUUCUAUGUUGCCAGCGCGUUAUGGCGGGGACUCAUAGGAGACUGCCGGGGUCAACUCGGAGGAAGGUGGGGAUGACGUCAAAUCAUCAUGCCCCUUAUGUCUUGGGCUUCACGCAUGCUACAAUGGCCGGUACAAAGGGCUGCGAUACCGUAAGGUGGAGCGAAUCCCAAAAAGCCGGUCUCAGUUCGGAUUGAGGUCUGCAACUCGACCUCAUGAAGUCGGAGUCGCUAGUAAUCGCAGAUCAGCAACGCUGCGGUGAAUACGUUCCCGGGCCUUGUACACACCGCCCGUCAAGUCAUGAAAGUCGGUAACACCCGAAGCCGGUGGCCUAACCCUUGUGGAAGGAGCCGUCGAAGGUGGGAUCGGUGAUUAGGACUAAGUCGUAACAAGGUAACCGUA